RNAcentral lists this long non-coding RNA (365 nucleotides) under Octopus sinensis (East Asian common octopus). RNAcentral's name for it is "uncharacterized LOC118762391". Lineage: Eukaryota; Metazoa; Mollusca; Cephalopoda; Octopoda; Octopodidae. The record is from RNAcentral.
UGUCCUCAGCAACAGUUGCUGCCUUGAAUUGGACUGGUGAGCAUCGCGCUUUCAUUGUGGAAACGUUUAUCAAAACAAACGAUUCUGUAACUGCAACACAAAGAGUGUUCCGUUUGCACUUCAAUCUUGGUAGACAUGAUCCCGUACCAGCUCGAAACACGAUCUUGUUAUGGGUUACCAACUUCAGAGCUACUGGAUCUGCAUUGAAAUGAAAAUCAACCGGCCGACCUCGCACCGCCAGAACUUAAAGAUGCAAUUCGUCAAGAAAUUACUGCCAUUCCACAUGAAAUGACCCGCCGAGUUAUUGACAACUUUCGUGAACGCCUUCGACAGUGUGUGGACAAUAAUGGAUCCCAUUUGACUGA